Molecule: ribosomal RNA, 265 nt
Filed under: uncultured bacterium
Lineage: Bacteria
Description: partial 16S ribosomal RNA
Rfam family: Bacterial small subunit ribosomal RNA
Source: RNAcentral
CCUCGCCUACGGGACGCAGCAGUGGGGAAUAUUGCACAAUGGAGGAAACUCUGAUGCAGCGAUGCUGCGUGAGGGAAGAAGGUUUUCGGAUUGUAAACCUCUGUCUUAAGGGACGAUAAUGACGGUACCUUAGGAGGUAGCUCCGGCUAACUACGUGCCAGCAGCCGCGGUAAUACGUAGGGAGCGAGCGUUGUCCGGAAUUACUGGGUGUAAAGGGAGUGUAGGCGGGAUGGUAAGUUAGGUGUGAAAUGCGGAGGCUCAACCU